Molecule: long non-coding RNA, 646 nt
Filed under: Mustela putorius furo (domestic ferret)
Lineage: Eukaryota; Metazoa; Chordata; Mammalia; Carnivora; Mustelidae
Description: lncRNA (ENSMPUG00000026225.1)
Source: RNAcentral
CAAAUCCACACAUGCAUCAGUGGUAAUAUGAGGCUGGUCGAAACACUGAAUGCCCAAUUUCUGAGGAGUCUUGGAAGGAUACUGCCUGGAUAUAUCUAGGGAAGUGGAGUGGGUCAAAUGGGAUCUACGAGUAUUUCAUCAAUAAUGUUUACUGAUCUGUUAUUUAAGGAAUUUUAAUGAAAAUGAAGUCCGAUGAAGUGAACUGUUUCUAAUCUGAUUUCAUUCAGUCAAGCUAAGCCCUUCUCUACUAAACUAAAGCCCAGGGAAUCUAACAAAAAAAACAAAUAAGUAGUGAUCAGUAGACUGUAGGAAAACUGCAAGUCUGCAGGCCUGUGUCGGCUGCUAAUUUCAUCGGAGCCCUGGAUUCUCACAUGCCUCAAGACGCAGAGCUGUUCCUUCCCCAGAAGAAAAAGCGGCUGUCGGAGCUUUCUCUCCUUAGGUCAGAAAGUAUAACAUGCCAAGCCUGGACUUGUCGUCGAAAGUCUUGCUUAUGGCUUAUUUGCCCAUAUCUGAGAAACAACAAAAGAAUCACAGCUGGAUUUCCAGAUGCUUCUAAUAGAGGAAAAAUGCAGAGUAAAAAACUCCCCAAGACAAGCUCAGAAAGGAUGAUGUUCACCACGAUUAAGUCUCCAGUCAGCCAUGUGAG